AGAGUUUGAUCAUGGCUCAGGGUUAACGCUGGCGGCGCGCAUAACACAUGCAAGUCGAGCGAGGGCUCAUUUCUCGCAAGAGAGAUGAGAUUCCUAGCGGCGAACGGGUGAGUAACACGUGGGCAACCUUUCCUAUCGCGGGGGAUAACACCGGGAAACCGAUGCUAAUACCGCAUGUCGUCACCGGUCGAUUGGCUGGUGAAGAAAGCAGCAAUGCACGAUGGGGUGGGCCCGCGGCCUAUCAGCUAGUCGGUGGGGUAACGGCCUACCGAGGCGAUGACGGGUAGCUGGUCUGAGAGGACGGCCAGCCACACGGGGACUGAGACACGGCCCCGACUCCUACGGGAGGCAGCAGUGAGGAAUCUUCCGCAAUGGGCGAAAGCCUGACGGAGCGACGCCGCGUGUGGGAUGAAGUCUUUCGGGAUGUAAACCACUGUCGGAGGGGAAGACAAAAAAGACGGUACCCUCCAAGAAAGCCCCGGCUAACUACGUGCCAGCAGCCGCGGUAAUAC
This 512-nucleotide ribosomal RNA is filed under the name uncultured bacterium. RNAcentral describes it as "bacterial SSU rRNA". It matches the Rfam family "Bacterial small subunit ribosomal RNA", at positions 8 to 526 of the family's 1533-position model. The record is from RNAcentral.